RNAcentral lists this ribosomal RNA (407 nucleotides) under uncultured rumen bacterium. RNAcentral describes it as "bacterial SSU rRNA". It matches the Rfam family "Bacterial small subunit ribosomal RNA", at positions 509 to 916 of the family's 1533-position model. The record is from RNAcentral.
CAGCAGCCGCGGUAAUACGUAGGGUCCAAGCGUUAAUCGGAAUUACUGGGCGUAAAGCGUGCGCAGGCGGUUGUGCAAGACCGAUGUGAAAUCCCCGAGUUUAACUUGGGAAUUGCAUUGGUGACUGCACGGCUAGAGUGUGUCAGAGGGGGGUAGAAUUCCACGUGUAGCAGUGAAAUGCGUAGAGAUGUGGAGGAAUACCGAUGGCGAAGGCAGCCCCCUGGGAUAACACUGACGCUCAUGCACGAAAGCGUGGGGAGCAAACAGGAUAGAUACCCUGGUAGUCCACGCCCUAAACGAUGUCAACUAGUUGUUGGGGAUUCAUUUCUCUUAGUAACGUAGCUAACGCGUGAAGUUGACCGCCUGGGGAGUACGGUCGCAAGAUUAAAACUCAAAGAAAUUGACGG